This 150-nucleotide ribosomal RNA is filed under the name Triticum aestivum (bread wheat). RNAcentral's name for it is "partial small subunit ribosomal RNA". The record is from RNAcentral. Lineage: Eukaryota; Viridiplantae; Streptophyta; Magnoliopsida; Poales; Poaceae.
AUGGUGGGCUUCUUGUUGUAGCGCGCGAGCUUGGCGGCCUCGGCGGCGAGCUUCUCGAAGAUGUCGUUGAUGAAGGAGUUCAUGAUGGACAUGGCCUUGGAGGAGAUGCCGACGUCGGGGUGCACCUGCUUCAGCACCUUGAAGAUGUAG